RNAcentral lists this long non-coding RNA (1027 nucleotides) under Equus caballus (horse). Its description in RNAcentral is "lncRNA (ENSECAG00000055003.1)". Lineage: Eukaryota; Metazoa; Chordata; Mammalia; Perissodactyla; Equidae. The record is from RNAcentral.
AUUUUAGAACAUUUUCAUCCCCCCACAAAGAAGCCCACCUUGUUAGCAGUCAACCCCUGUGCCCCGCUCCCCUGCUCCCGCAAGCAGCCACUCAUUACUUUCUCUCUGUGAGGUGGGUAUUGUUGCUCCCGCGUUCACAAAUGAGGACAGCCAGAGCUCACUGGGGCUUUCAGCGGGAGGGUGGCGUGAGCGUUUUGUGACACCCAGAUCCAUCCAGCCUCUCUAUGGAGAACAGACUGCUUCAGAGUCACAUCCGGCGAAAAGGCAAAAGGCGGCGCCCGUCUCCCCUUUGACACACCGUGUCAGGAGAGUGUGUGGCAGAGACUGGCUGGCCAAGUAGCAUGACAGAUACAACGUCAAAUUUGGAAAGCGAAAAGGUUUAGCCGUGCUCAAAAACAAGUUGAAUGUCUCUGUGGACCGGAAGUGAAUAGAAAUGUGACGUGGGGGACUGAGGCUGUAGGCCUGCUGGGCCUGGGGCGCCCACCCUGGUCCAAGGAGCCGAAAAGGCAAAUGCAGUGAGGACAACCUGCCCAGCCCACACAGGACCCCAGCGGGCCAGCCGCUGUGGCAUCCACACCACCACGCAGGGCGGGAUAACUCGGUGUGGCAGAGAGUGGAUCCCCUGCCCUCCUUCUGGACUCACUGGGCCUCUGGCUGCCCAGCUCCACAUCUCCCAGCUUCUCUAGGUGACGGGUGCGGCCACAUAGCCAGGAUCUCACAAUGGAACAUCAGAGAGGAGGAUAUGCACCGCUUUCUGGCCCGUAAAAACGCCCGCACGGCUUCCCCCUUACCAUAGGUUGGGAUGACGGCAAAGAUGGAUCCGUGCCCGUUGCUGCUGAGACAAAUUACAACCAAGGUUGUGGCUGAAAAAAUGCAGAUACUUACAGUUCUGGAGGCCGGAAGUCUGAAAUCAGUUUCCCUGGGUCCCUGCGAGACUGAACGGAACAGAUCUUCCUUACCAUCCCCUCCUCCUCCUCUGUCUGACCGGGAACAUACACCCUGGCCUGUUGCAUGAGAUGGAAAUGAA